GAUGAACGCUGGCGGCGUGCUUAAUACAUGCAAGUCGAGCGGACGGGCGCGAAGCUUGCUUCUCUCAUGUUAGCCGCGGAGGUGAGUGUAACACGUGGAUAACCUACCUAUAUGUCGGGUAACACUUCGGGACAGCGGCGCAAAUCCGGUAGAAUAUUUUGAACCGUGUGGUUGAUUAGAGAGAUACGGCCUUGCGGGCUGUUAUAGAUGGAUCCGCGCUGCUUUAGCUAGUUGUUAAGGUAACGGCGUACCAAGGCAACGAUGCAUAGCCGACCUGAGAGGCGGAUCGGCCGCACUAGAACUGGAACACGGACCAGACUCCUAAGGGAGGCAGCAGUAGGGUAUCUGCCGCAAUGGGCGAAAGCCUGACGGAGCAACGCCGCGUGAGUGAUGAAGGUCUUCGGAUCGUAAAACUCUGUUAUUAGGGAAGAACAUAUGUGUAAGUAACUGUGCACAUCUUGACGGUACCUAAUCAGAAAGCCACGGCUAACUACGUG
Molecule: ribosomal RNA, 497 nt
Filed under: uncultured bacterium
Lineage: Bacteria
Description: partial 16S ribosomal RNA
Rfam family: Bacterial small subunit ribosomal RNA
Source: RNAcentral